Molecule: ribosomal RNA, 490 nt
Filed under: uncultured bacterium
Lineage: Bacteria
Description: partial 16S ribosomal RNA
Rfam family: Bacterial small subunit ribosomal RNA
Source: RNAcentral
AUUGAACGCUGGCGGCAUGCUUUACACAUGCAAGUCGGACGGCAGCGGGGUAGUGCUUGCACUACUGCCGGCGAGUGGCGUACGGGUGAGUAAUAUAUUGGAACGUACCGAGUAAUGGGGGAUAACCAAUCGAAAGAUUGGCUAAUACCGCAUACGCUCUGAGGAGGAAAGCAGGGGACCUUCGGGCCUUGCGUUAUUCGAGCGGCCAAUAUCUGAUUAGCUAGUUGGUGGGGUAAGGGCCUACCAAGGCGACGAUCAGUAGCGGGUCUGAGAGGAUGAUCCGCCACACUGGGACUGAGACACGGCCCAGACUCCUACGGGAGGCAGCAGUGGGGAAUUUUGGACAAUGGGCGCAAGCCUGAUCCAGCCAUGCCGCGUGUCUGAAGAAGGCCUUCGGGUUGUAAAGGACUUUUGUUAGGGAAGAAAAAGGAGCGGUUAAUACCCGUUUCUGCUGACGGUACCUAAAGAAUAAGCACCGGCUAACUACGUG